UAAUUAUCCUUCCUUUUUGGGGUGCUUUU
This 29-nucleotide non-coding RNA is filed under the name Rattus norvegicus (Norway rat). The record is from RNAcentral. Lineage: Eukaryota; Metazoa; Chordata; Mammalia; Rodentia; Muridae.